RNAcentral lists this ribosomal RNA (82 nucleotides) under Chaetoceros debilis. RNAcentral's name for it is "partial Trypanosomatid mitochondrial large subunit ribosomal RNA". Lineage: Eukaryota; Bacillariophyta; Thalassiosirophyceae; Chaetocerotales; Chaetocerotaceae. The record is from RNAcentral.
AAUAAACAGUCACUAAAGGAUUCUACAGUAGUAAUCAAAAUUACAAGAAGUGAAUCAAUCAAUCAAUUGAAUUGAUAACUUC